AAAAAAAUCAAGGUAAGUUAAUCAACUCAACUUGAAUAAGCCUUAAUCUGCUGCAUAUUAGUGAUCCAGCAAAACUGAGACGAGGGGGAGAAGACCUUAACUAACCGUAGAAGUAUGCCAUAGAAUUAUAAGCAUGUGCUUCUCAAUUGUUUCAGUGCACUGCUCAAUUCCUGAUGGACAUGUAUUUCGUUCUUUUUUAGUGUCUUCCAAACUAUGAGAUCCAUAUGAGAGAGCUGAUGAUACUUUCUUUGUCCUUAUGCAAUCAGAAGUAAAUUAGGUAUCCAAAAGUUUUUCAUCUGAAAGAUCCUUAGUUCCUCUAAAUCCAAAUAUUGUAUGAACGCAUUCGUCCAAAACCUGAAGAAUAAAGCAACAUCAAAAGUUAUGAAUCGAUUGCAAAGUCUAACAAGGAG
Molecule: long non-coding RNA, 410 nt
Filed under: Durio zibethinus
Lineage: Eukaryota; Viridiplantae; Streptophyta; Magnoliopsida; Malvales; Malvaceae
Description: long non-coding RNA (DZIB_LNC000070)
Source: RNAcentral